RNAcentral lists this ribosomal RNA (456 nucleotides) under uncultured soil bacterium. RNAcentral's name for it is "bacterial SSU rRNA". It matches the Rfam family "Bacterial small subunit ribosomal RNA", at positions 26 to 518 of the family's 1533-position model. The record is from RNAcentral.
AGAAUGAACGUUGGCGGCGUGGAUUAGGCAUGCAAGUCGAGCGAGAUCUGUAGCAAUACAGUGAAAGCGGCGAAAGGGAGAGUAAUGCGUAGAUACGUACCCUGGGGUUCAGGAUAGCGUCGGGAAACUGACGGUAAUACUGGAUAAUGUCUUCGGACCAAAGAUUUAUUGCCCUUGGAGCGGUCUGCGUCCUAUUAGUUAGUUGGUGGGGUAAUGGCCUACCAAGACUUAGAUGGGUACUGGGUGUGAGAGCACGACCCAGCUCACUGGGACUGAGACACUGCCCAGACACCUACGGGUGGCUGCAGUCGAGAAUCUUCCGCAAUGGGGGAAACCCUGACGGAGCGACGCCGCGUGCGGGAUGAAGGCCUUCGGGUUGUAAACCGCUGUCGGAGGGGAGCAAAUUAUGAGCGAUCCUCGGAGGAAGCACAGGACUAAACUCGUGCCAGCAGCCGC